GCUGGGGUAGCCAAGGUGGUCACGGCGGUGGUCUGAAAAACCUCAGAUCUCAGUUCGACUCUGAGCCCCAGCACAA
This 76-nucleotide transfer RNA is filed under the name Candidatus Roizmanbacteria bacterium RIFCSPHIGHO2_01_FULL_35_10. RNAcentral describes it as "tRNA-Phe". It matches the Rfam family "tRNA". Rfam says of the family: Transfer RNA (tRNA) molecules are approximately 80 nucleotides in length. RNAcentral also lists the same sequence under 1 other name. The record is from RNAcentral. Lineage: Bacteria; Candidatus Roizmaniibacteriota.